AGUCAUUCAUUAAAUACAAAUAAUUGUUGUGAAUAAGUAUUUACCUUUGAAAUAGUGUCAUUUUAGCUACAUUUUAGUAAAUAACUAAAUAUGGAUAGACUAAAGUAGUUCGGAUUGAUUGCAGUGUUUCUGAAAAUCUAGGUGCUUCUUUGCCAUAAUCAGAAGAAUGCAGGGGCUUUUUACAGAUUUUACCAAUUUUCUCAUUGGAUCGUCACUCACUCUUUCUCUUGCCAAUUCCAUCUUCAAGGGCGACGCGCCACCUUAUCAAUGACACGCGCCGCUCUUGAACACUCACCCCGCGGUCCAGAAUCACCAAAAGCUCCACAAACACCGUCAUCACCUCCACCAGACGCCAUGAUCUACGAUCGAUUAGCUGAACACUCACCUCGCGGUGGCAAUUGAUAUUUUGCAGAACUCAGGGUUUGAGGAUGAUAUGAUAAAUCGCCAACGCAAUGUGAUUCUUCAGGAGACGGAAGAGGUAGUUAAAUACUCCUAUAAUUUAUUGGCUGGAUUUACUCCUUGUGUUGCUGGAUUUACUCCUUGUGUUUAGCGUCUGUAGUCUUUGUUGGUUAUAGUUUUCAUAUGGUAAAACUUCAUCCACUUUAUUAUCCUAGCGUGUUUGAUUGGACAUGGAAUGCAAGAUGUUAAGUCCACUUUUGAUUCCAGGAUUUCUCUGAAUUUUAAAGUGAUCAAAAGUAAGUUCCUAUACCGAGAACCAAUCCAAUUAAGUCUGUAGCAUCUACCAAUUUCUCCAUAUCCCCCUUUUCUUUUCAUGUGAGAUUAGGAUCUUGUUUUAAUGUCUUUCAUUUAUACGAGAACAAUUGAAUUGCUUAGUACUCAAUCCUGAUAUUGAAGUAAAGGUUGAUAAAUUAAUUUGAUACACUAAAGUUAAAAUUUGAAUGGUUAGAUGAAUAGCACCAAGAUUGAGGCCCACUAAUGACGAAGCUAUGUAUAAAUCCCCAUUAAGGCAAAAGAGUUACGUGACUUCUUCUCUUCUGCCUAAGUCUUAGUGGCCACUAUUACUCGAUACCUAUGUUGGUAGGAGAAUGCAAGUUCGUGGUGAAAAAUAGUCCAGAUGCGUGCAGGUUGGUGGGGCACCACUAUUGUCCCAAAAUAAAUGAAUUCUUGAAAGUUGUGAUAGUUAUAUGUAAUAUUUAUUAUUUACUGUCAAAUACUUUGAAACAUUUCAAAAUGGAUAGAGUGUCAUAUAAACAGGAACCAAGAGAGUACUAUUAAUGUUUUAAACAGAUAAUGGAAUUUUCAGCUGUGACCAGAAUAAUUUAUUGUUUGAUUGGAGUGAUUGUUAAAGCAAUGUUUUGAGAAUUCAACCGUCAUAUGUAUACCCGGGACUUCAUAAUGAUGCAUUUGUGGUCCUUGGAGACAGAAAGAGAAAAGUUGAUAGGAGUAAUAAGAGCUGUUUUUAAUCCAAUUAUGAACUAUUCUGAAGGACUGGUAAAUUUGGGAGUUUCGCAAGAUAAGCUGGAACUUGGAAGUAGCACCUAUAUUCAACCAAGUGCCUAUACUACUCUUAGUUGCUCCCUUUUUGUCGUUAAGAAUCAGUAGUUCAAGUAUAGUACAUGAAAUAAAUAAAAUUUUGAUAAGGUUUGGGCAACCGAAGCAUGAAUAAAUUUUUCUCUAAAAAAGAAUGUGUCAAAGCUCGAAACAACAACAACAACAAACCCAGUAUAUUCCCACAAGUGGGGUCUGGGGAUGGUAGUGUGCACGCAGAACUUACCCCUACCUAGUGAAGGCAGAGAGGCUUCAAAGCUCAAAAGACCUAAUAAAUUAUUUUGGGAGUGGUUACCGUCAGAUGACAUGUGCCUUUAUGAUUGGAAUUACCUCUUUUUGCUAGAUACACUAAGUUUUGUCUACUCUGAUUGUGUAAGAUCUAGAUUAAAGAGCUCAUUGAACUGAUGAUAAUUGACACUUCACGUUGGUGCAAAUCCCCUCCGCGUUUGAUCAGUUUAUGGCUUCUUGGUUGGUCCUAACCCUCAAAGGGCCUGACAUUAGCGGAAGAAUGAGAGAAAUUCUUAUUGAUUGGUUGGUUGAAGUCCACCACAGAUUUGAACUGAUCCAGAGACUCUUUGAUAGGGAAAAACUGGACCAGACAUGAACAUUUUUUUAUAUCUCCAUCUCGUUUCAUUUUUGGAUGAGUUUCACCUGUAGUUGAAUGCAAAUUUUGUGUCUAGAAACAGCUUUUAAUCUGGUGAAAUGGAAUACAUUCAUUCUUGAUUAAAGAAAUUGGUAGCUGUGUGAGGGCUUGAAAUCUCCCGGUAAAAGCUUAUUGUGCAAAAUGGAUUUGGUGUCUCAAUCUUCCAGACAGAGCUCUCUGGAAAAUGGUCAUUUGCACAAAAUAUGACAUGGACAAGAUCCCCUUCUCCACCUCUUGGCUUAGGUGUGCGGAAGCAUAUCCGAGUCCUUUGGAGCUACUUUUGGGAACAAUGCUCCUUAAAAGUAGGUGAUGGAAGAAAGAUUAAAUUUUGGCGAGACUUGUGGCUUGGCCAACCCCCCCUUAUGAACAGAUUUCCUGCUUUUUCUAGAUGUGCAUUCAACCAACACUCUUUCUUAGCCAAACUUGAGUCAAGUUGGCCCGCAUUCCAUCGUGGGCGUCACAUUCACCCCCCUCCCCCGAGGGGCUCAGCGUCCUCCUCACCACCGUACUGAGGGAGUGUCAGACUUUGAUACUAUAUUUGUCACAGCCUAAGCUGAUGGCAUAUUGGGGUGCACAUGAGACGGGUUGGUUUGGGUUUUACCAAAGAACUAUCAAUUUUGUCGGUUUUAUCGUGUUUUUUCGUUUUUUUCCACAUGAAUAUUAUUUCAUUACUUUAUUAAAGUUAUAGAUAAAAUUUUAAUAAGUUAAUAUAUAUUUGGUAUGAAUUAAACAAAUUAACAAACAUAUGAUCUAUUAAAAUAUUCUUAUGAGAUAAUUUUUUGGUAACACAUUAUAGUUAUUUUUUUAGUCUAACAAUAAUUUUCAUUGAUGUACGUUUCAAGCUUAACCGAAUUUUAAUAAUUAAAACAAAAAUCAUAUAAAGCCUAAGUAAUGAUAUGUUCUGUUUAAUUUUAAAACUUACAGAUAAAACACCAUUUCAAAUUUGAAAAAGAUAUAAGAUUUUAAUAGAUCUUAACAUAUGAACAUGGGAGAACAAAGAGAUUGACGCAAUUCAAUAACACAAGAUAAGAAAGUAAUGAUACACGUUAAAAUCAAGUAUUAUUUAAAGUAAAUAAAAAUAGAUGCACUUUAUACUUCUAUGAAAUAUUACAUUCAUGAAAGGAUCACAAAUAUUUCUAGACAUUUUUAGUAGAAAUCCUAAAUAAAAGUUUAGAAGUAUAUAUAAAAAUUAUAUACUUAUAUGUCGGUUUGAUUCGGAUUUUUUACUCAAUACCAAACCAAAUCAAACCUAGUCGGGUUUUUCAAUCAGUAUGGUUUGACUUUUCGGUUAGAUGUAGUUUUCUGAACACCCCUAAUGGCACGUCUCAUCCACUUUGGCGCAACAGACCUCACAGAUUACGCCAUCAUCGUGCCCAAAAGGGCGCAUACCGUGUGAAUUUGUGUUAUGCCGUAUAACACUCUUCACUUUCCUCUCCAUUCCGAUGUGAGAUUCGCUUAAGGUGUUAUGCACCCCUUCUUCAGAAGCUUGCCAGUCCUUCUCUUUGACCCGUCCUCCAUCAUGGGCAUCACAACUAGAGAGUAUGAAGGGGGGGGGGGGGGAAGACGACGUAAUAGAAGAGGAAAAUGGGAAGAGCUCCUUGUUGUGAUAAGGCUAAUGUGAAGACAGGGCGAUACCGCGAUAGUCACCUGAAGAAGAUGCUAAGCUCAAAGAUUUUAUUGUAAAUAUGGAAGUGGUGGAUAUUGGAUUGCUCUUACUCAAAAAGCUGGUAAUUAAAGACUUCUAAUCAAAUGUGUGUGUCUCUGUGUGUAUUGAUGGGAUAUAUAUUUGGAUCAGUAUGAAAGAGAUGUGAGAAUAGUUGCAGAUUGAGAUGGCUAACUUAUCUUAGACCUAACAUCAAGCAUGGUAAUUUUUCUGAUGAGGAUGGAGUGAAACAAAAGAGUGAAUUGAAGCUGCUGCAUCCAAAUUAAAUAAAGGGUGUACUUUUUAUUCAGCUAUUUCCAUCUCUUGUUUGAUUUUUCUCUAAAUUUGACUUUUAUCUUCUUUUAGAUAAUUCUGUCGUAUUUUAACAUCAGACCAUAUGAUGAGUACCUCUUUUUUGAAAGAAAAUAAGACCUGGUGUAUGUCUUUCAUCUCUUAAAAUUAAAAUGACCAUCCGGCAUAACAUGCAAAUGAACUAAAACAUAACAAAUUUCAAACAACAUUUAUAGAUGAACAUACCUUGUAAUGUUGACGGGUCUACUUAUCCUUCAACCAUGUACUAUUCCUUAAACAUUGUACAUACAAAAACAAAGAACUAUUAUAUAAUGAUUAGCAGGGAAAACCAAAGCACAUAAAUAUCCAUAGUAUCUUGAGGAGAUUGAAACGUAAGGACCUUUCAAGUGUUAAAUUAAUUUACUACCUCCAUUUUAUAUUCUCUUUAUUUUUCAUCCCUGAAAUUGUUAAAUGAGGGGUUUAAGUGAAAUGGAGGCCUUAUUUAGAAUUAGUAGACUUGUGGGUUUUUAAAUCUAAAUAUACAAUAAAAAUCCUAUCUCUAAAAUCAGAUAUCUUGACUUCUUCGUCAUCUUCGAGUUCGAACACAAUUGCUCUUUUAUUACUCCUUCAAUGCUCCUUCACUCUCAAAACUAAUCACCAUGCUCGUCGAUUAUACCACGAGCCUAUAUGGGUUAGCUGAUUGCAAAUGACUGAUAGGCUUGAAGUACUGAAAAGAAUUUUUAAGUGCUUAAACUGAUGUUAUAAAUAAGUAGUUACGUAUUUGGAUAGAAAUACUGACAUUGAUAAUAAGCAAGUGAUAUAUUUGGUAAAAAAAAUGUCGAUAAGCUUUUGUUUUACAAAAAAUUAUAAAUCUAAAAGUAGCUUUGUAAAGAACUAAAAGUAGCUUUGUAAAGAAAAGGAGGAGCGGCAAAUUAAUGGAAUGAAGAAAAUUUAGGAGUUUUAUUUUGGGAAAGGUAUUUUUUGAGUUAGAAAAAUAUUAUUAAGGAUAAAACAGUAAAAGUCUUGGUCAACCUAUAAGUGCUUAUAAGCUGAAAAGUCAUAAGGGUAACCAACUUAUGAUUUUUGGCUGAUUUUGGCUUAUAAACACUUCACUUAUAAGCACUUUUGAUGACAAGAGUGGGUUGCUCUACUGGUGAGCACCCUCCACUUCCAACCAAGUGGUUUUGAGUUCGAGUCACCCCAAGAGCAAGGUGGGGAGUUCUCGGAGGGAGGGAGCCGGGGGUCUAUCGGAAACAACCUCUCUACCCCAGGGUAGGGGUAAGGUCUGCGUACACACUACCCUCCCCAUACCCCACUAGUGGGAUAAUACUGGGUUGUUGUUGUUGUUGUUGUUAUAAGCACUUUGGGUAGAUAAGUCAAAAAGUUCUUAUAAGCCAAUUUGAUCAGCUUAUAAGCUUAUGCAAACACUCUCUAUGACCUUCGUUCGCUGGCAACUCUCAUCGAACCACAUACAGAAGCUUUGUACACUGGUCCCUGAUCUUUGAUUACGCAAUCACCGAUUCAGCAUUCCUCUCAACUACUCUCUCGAUUAUCGCUCCUCCCCUUAAAUCUAUGUCUUCGCUUGCGAAGCCGUUGCUGGUAAUAUGGUUCCCGUAACUCUGUCUAGUAGACUUCACACUUUAUUAUCUAAUUCAAAACAGAUAAUGAGGAUCUUCAUAAUUCUAUUUCAUUCUAUUUUAGGCAGUGUUUGGCCUUGGUUAAGCUUAUUAAGGACUAAAAAAGUAACUUUCAGAAAUAAGUACUCUAAUUUUCAGCGUAACUGAUAUGUAAAGUACGAGGAGAAGUUUUAUACAAUUAAAUGUUUUGGUUAUCAAAGUACUAGGAGAAGUUUUUCAAAUAUUGUUUAAGUUAUUAGAUUCAAAAGUAAUAUACUGGUUUCGCAUAUGUUCUGCUAACUUAUGCACUUUAGCACGCUUUAUGUAUUUAUUCAGCUGGAAUCGCCGGCACACAUCGUUCUCUUCUCUCUGUGUAUUUACCUUUUUCCCCAUAAAAAUUUGGUCUUGUGGUGGUUUCUGCAAAUUAUUCUUCUUCGUCUCUUGCAAAUUUCCCUGUUUGGAUCACCCAGGUUAGUCAAGACGACAAUUCUGAAAUUCUAUAUAGUAUCUAAUUGAAAUGACAAAAUGAUCUUGUUUCUUGGAAGAUGAUUCAAGCUAGCUAAGUGAACAGAUUUGCUAAUACAAUUGGGGAAAAUGCUUCUUUUUUUGCUUUAAUAAAAGUAUUCCUUCCCCAUCCCUAUUCCAUGUGCUCCAAUCAUAGUUCAAACAAAAAAUUAUAGUUUAAAAUAUGUGUUUAAAAUAUGUCUGCAGUUAGUUUCCAUUAGUGUGAUACAUUAUUGUUGGCUUGUACUGUGUAUUGUGUAGCCCUAAGCAUCUGAAUAAUUUAGCACUAUCCUAGGUUAAGCCUGUAAAUUUAGGCCCUGUUUUCUGGUAGCUUUUUAAAAUAGCAGAUUCGGCAAUGCAAUUUGUUACAGCAGAUGACAAUGAAUUACAUUCGUAGGGAUCCUACACAUUUCUGUUUUGAAUUUUGCUUACUGCCUUUCUCAUUAUUUCUAUAUAGAAGAAUAAUGUAUUUAUUUGCAGCCAUUUGAUGAUGAAAAGUGAAAGAGACGGAUUGCGAAGCAACGCUGUGCAGUGCUUGUUUAUCAGUCAACUAAGUACUUGUCUUGUACUUAGUUGUUUCUGCAGGCCAACUUAUUUGUCCAUGUCAAAGGUUGGGUUGAAGAGGUGCAUUUUGCUUGUAGCAUGUCAAGUGCUCUUUCAGUCAUUUUGGUAAUCUCGUCUGUUUAAUAAGUUCUCUAAAAUAAGAAUGCAUUUUCCAUGUCUUCAUGUUAUCUAAUAUAGCCUUAAAUUAAUAGCAGCAAUGCUAUUCUGCAAAUCUCCUCGGGGUUGCUGAUUACCUAUAAGUCUUAAGGUUUUAUCCGUACAUUUGAUAAGAAACCUACUGGUCUUUAAUCUUUGAGUUCCCUCUUGGUAUUUCCUUUUCGAUUUAUAUGCUGAUAAACUAUGUUUUUCGGGGUCCUCUUCCUUUUUUCCCCUUCCCCUGUUACAUCUUCUAGCAGUUAUUUACAACAGUUUAUGCUAUUUACUUGUUACUUCUUCAAUAGAAACAACAAUGAUUUGUCAGGAUAUUGAUUUCGGAGGCAUUUUACAACUAAUUGGUUGUAUCCAGGUGUGCAUUCGUGCUUUUCCAGGCAGUCGGUUGGGAUUGCGAGGAAUUUAGAGUAGAUUGAAAGCAUAUGAAAAUGGUGAGAGAUAGAGAUGGAGAAAAAGAUAGAUAUGGAAUUGAACAAGUUAGAGGUUGAGAUUUAUCACAUUUGAGGUUGAAUCGAGCGACAUUAUUGACAAAGUCAAAGCUU
This 7461-nucleotide long non-coding RNA is filed under the name Nicotiana tabacum (common tobacco). RNAcentral describes it as "long non-coding RNA (NTAB_LNC012599)". Lineage: Eukaryota; Viridiplantae; Streptophyta; Magnoliopsida; Solanales; Solanaceae. The record is from RNAcentral.